GAUGAACGCUGGCGGCGUGCCUAAUACAUGCAAGUCGAGCGAACAGAUGAGGAGCUUGCUCCUCUGACGUUAGCGGCGGACGGGUGAGUAACACGUGGAUAACCUACCUAUAAGACUGGGAUAACUUCGGGAAACCGGAGCUAAUACCGGAUAAUCUAUUGAACCGCAUGGUUCAAUAGUGAAAGACGGUUUUGCUGUCACUUAUAGAUGGAUCCGCGCCGCAUUAGCUAGUUGGUAAGGUAACGGCUUACCAAGGCGACGAGGCGUAGCCGACCUGAGAGGGUGAUCGGCCACACUGGAACUGAGACACGGUCCAGACGCCUACGGGAGGCAGCAGUAGGGAAUCGUCCGCAAUGGGCGAAAGCCUGACGGAGCAACGCCGCGUGAGUGAUGAAGGUCUUCGGAUCGUAAAACUCUGUUAUUAGGGAAGAACAAAUGUGUAAGUAACUAUGCACGUCUUGACGGUACCUAAUCAGAAAGCCACGGCUAACUACGUG
RNAcentral lists this ribosomal RNA (497 nucleotides) under uncultured bacterium. RNAcentral describes it as "partial 16S ribosomal RNA". It matches the Rfam family "Bacterial small subunit ribosomal RNA", at positions 28 to 507 of the family's 1533-position model. The record is from RNAcentral.